UUGAAGACGACGACGUUGAUAGGCCGGGUGUGUAAGCGCAGCGAUGCGUUGAGCUAACCGGUACUAAUGAACCGUGAGGCUUAACCUUACAACGCCGAAGGUGUUU
RNAcentral lists this ribosomal RNA (106 nucleotides) under Escherichia coli. Its description in RNAcentral is "partial 23S ribosomal RNA". The stretch from base 1 to 88 matches the Rfam family "Bacterial large subunit ribosomal RNA", at positions 2838 to 2925 of the family's 2925-position model. The record is from RNAcentral. RNAcentral also lists the same sequence under 1 other name. Lineage: Bacteria; Pseudomonadati; Pseudomonadota; Gammaproteobacteria; Enterobacterales; Enterobacteriaceae.